AUUGAACGCUGGCGGCAUGCCUUACACAUGCAAGUCGAACGGCAGCACGGGUGCUUGCACCUGGUGGCGAGUGGCGAACGGGUGAGUAAUAUAUCGGAACGUACCUUAUCGUGGGGGAUAACGCAGCGAAAGCUGCGCUAAUACCGCAUACGCCCUGAGGGGGAAAGCGGGGGACCGUAAGGCCUCGCGCGAUUAGAGCGGCCGAUAUCUGAUUAGCUUGUUGGUGGGGUAAAAGCCCACCAAGGCGACGAUCAGUAGCUGGUUUGAGAGGAUGAUCAGCCACAAUGGGACUGAGACACGGCCCAUACUCCUACGGGAGGCAGCAGUAGGGAAUUUUGCGCAAUGGGGGGAAACCCUGACGCAGCAACGCCGCGUGAAUGAUUAAGCCCUUCGGGGUGUAAAGUUCUGUCAGUAGGGACGAAACUUGACGGUACCUACAGAGGAAGCACCGGCUAACUCCGUG
RNAcentral lists this ribosomal RNA (463 nucleotides) under uncultured bacterium. RNAcentral's name for it is "bacterial SSU rRNA". It matches the Rfam family "Bacterial small subunit ribosomal RNA", at positions 30 to 507 of the family's 1533-position model. The record is from RNAcentral.